Molecule: long non-coding RNA, 2055 nt
Organism: Uranotaenia lowii
Lineage: Eukaryota; Metazoa; Arthropoda; Insecta; Diptera; Culicidae
Exons: 3
Source: RefSeq, a predicted model, not a curated record
GAAAAUGGUUGAAAUUUUGUUUUAAGAGUCAAGUUAGUGUGGUCAGUGUUUAUACCAUGGUCUUGGCUAUUCGGGAAUUUUGCAGCUGAAAUUUUGGCCACUUUGCUGAAUAGUCUUUCAUAUCUUCUUCUUCUUCGUUUUCGUUGGACAUUGGAUAUCAGCUCUGCGUCAGACCCGAUGUCAGGGAUGGCACAGCAGUGUUGCUAUAUUGCCAGCAAUUUUGUUUAUAGUCAAGGAGACUUUUCGACCAUAGAAGUUGCUAUUGCAGCAACUGAAGUAUAGAUUUUUGGAAACGCUGACGCAGUAUUUGUUUUGGUUGUGGGUGUUUGUUUAUUUAAAUUCCUUAAUCGUUCGUAUGGAGCUCUCAAUUUCUCAUCCUAUCGGUGUUAAUUCCAGCCUUGGCCAGCUGAUCAGCCGUCUCGUUACCAUGGAUUCCGGUAUGCCCAGGAAUCCAUUGGAUUAUUGUUCCAGAUGCCGCUGCCAUUUCCAGAAUCUGGUGGAUAACUCGCUAAAUUUGAAAUACUCAGAGCCCGGCUACCUUUUACUCAGACGUCGCCACAUGUAUGAAACAGCCGACGGCUGAUCUUAAUUAACUCAAAUAUCAGCGGAAAAUUUACUCAGACGUCAGAAAAUUCGGCACUCAGAGAACUCGAGUGCUGGAAGGCGACAACUGAGUAAAUGAUGAUCAGUUUGUGCGAGGCGGUCGGACUUGGUUGUUUUCGUGCAGCGAAAACUAAAAAAUGGUUUGGUGACGAAGGUGGUCCAAAUACAAUUGGCAUAACGGCAUAAUAUUACGGCAUAAUGGGUCCCGGGAGACGAAACCCGACGGGCGAAAAAAAAAUAUUUUUUUUUAAAAUAAAAUAUGUAUGCACAACAUUUGGACUUUUUAUUCAGCAAAUCAACAAAUCCAUCAUUUGUCUAAAAAAUAAUAUAGGUUUUAACUAUUCUAGCAUGGAAAAAGCGGCCAAAAACCGCUUCAGAAUUAUUCGCGCAUUCUGAGUAACCAUGGAUCAGUUGUCGCGAAAAGGGCUGUUAGUCAGUUCUGAGUAAAAGCCGUUUAGUCAGAACUGAGUAGGUGCGGUUUUGGCGACAACUGAGUAGCCGUCACUCUGAACUGAGUAGCUGAAAGUUAGCGAGAACCUUGUCUCGCUGCCCCUUGAUGAUGUUGUUCCUGAUUAGUUCGCAUCCGGAUCUUGAAUAUGUCAUGAUAACAACGUGCGUAAGUGAGCUUCUGAUGAUGUAUUGCAGCGCUGCGUAUAUAGCUUCCAAUUCCGCGGACAUAAUGCACACGGAAUUUCUCAGGCGUAGACAUAUUCUUAUGUUUCUUUCUGGAUGAUAUAUACCAAUUCCACAUGCUUCACCAUCGCUAGAGGCGUCAGUGUAGAUUAUUUGUUUAUGUGCAUAUUUGCCAUGUAUUAGAGACAAGGUGAGUUGUUUUAGUAUUCUCACAUCUGUUGUUUUUUUAGGCCACAACUCCUGGUUUAACGUUGUGCAUAUUUGCACAUAGUCAAACUGCUGUCUGCUACUAAUAAGCUCAGACAUAUGAUUCAGAACAUGGGUGUUGUUGAGAUAUAUUUCUUCCAUCAGCGAAGGCUUAUCGGUAUUCCUGCUCAAUUGGCAAAGUUGCUCCCAGAUUGGUGUUUUUCUAUAGCAAUGUUUUGCAAGUUGUCCAACAACCUUGAGCCUUCUUAAACGCAAUGGUGGUUGGGCAGCUAAUGCUUGCAGCGUGUUCAGGGGAGUUGUUCUUGUACAACCGGUAAUUUUUCUCAAGCAAUUAUUGUUAAUUCUAUCUAGUUUAGCUAAGUUUGUAGCACAAGCCGAUCCAUAAACGCUUGCUCCAUAUUCGAUGAAGCUUCUAAAAAUAGCAUUGUAAACCAGACCUAGAGUUCCUGGGUGACUCCCGUGUUUCAAUCCACUUAUUACUUUUAUCAUGUUUAGACGAUCUGUCACUUUGUUUUGAAGCUCACGGAUAUGAGGACCAAAUCUUAAUGUUUUGUCGAGCAAUACACCGAGAUACAUGUGUGUUCUGACAGUUUCAAUCUUGUCGCCUUGAAU